GGGCUGUAGCUCAGCGGUAGAGCAUCUGCCUUGUGUGCUGAAGGUCUCAGGUUCAAUCCCCAAUAGCAUCU
Podarcis lilfordi (Lilford's wall lizard) is the source of this 71-nucleotide non-coding RNA. The record is from the annotation of a GenBank genome assembly. Lineage: Eukaryota; Metazoa; Chordata; Lepidosauria; Squamata; Lacertidae.